Molecule: ribosomal RNA, 174 nt
Filed under: Myotis grisescens (gray myotis)
Lineage: Eukaryota; Metazoa; Chordata; Mammalia; Chiroptera; Vespertilionidae
Description: partial 16S ribosomal RNA
Source: RNAcentral
GCACCUAGUUUACACCUAGAAGAUUUCACACAAAAUGACCACUUUGAAACUAAACAUAGCUCAAAAUAUACUAUAUAUACAUAUAUAUAUUACCACCCCAAUAACAUUAAAAUAAAACAUUCAUAACAAUUAAAAGUAUAGGUGAUAGAAAUUUUACAUGACGCUAUAGAGAAA